ACUCGAUCCAGCCAUCAGCGAUGUGAGGGCCUCUAUCGCCUAUUUUUCCUCGCAUUGUCACUGGCCAUGCGAUUUCUCCUCGCGUGCACGACUGAUCGUAGGUGGCCUGACCUCCUUCGAGAGUUGAUGUUGUUGCAAUGCCAAGAAUGAAACCACUCCGCCCUAGCCCGAGCCCUGGCUUGAUCGAGUCGCAGUGGCCCUUUCACAGUGUGAUUCUAACUUGAUGUCGCCGCCCUUAGUGUGAGGUCAGCUCGACGAUGUUGCAGCCAAGAUUGUCGGGAGGGAUGACAUUGUUGACUAUUAUAGGAGUUGACGCCCUCUUCACUUGCUGGGAUCCACUGUGGGCCAUUCACCAGAGGGGUCGCCACUGUUCCAACGCCGAUGUAUACACGAAGGACGUUGAUUCGAGACGUACGUCUCGACAUGGGAUUGUUUAGCACGAUCGACAUAUAAAGAGUAUGAAAUCUCGAUUUAAAGCACCAAAGGAAUGGACACCAAGGAGAUGGGGGGCUCUACGAAGUCGUCAAGGAGUCGAGGCACCAAGGAAUCAGGGGGAGUCAAGGAGUUAAGGUUGACUCGAUUUUCCCUUAACUUGAACUGCUACCUCCGUAGGAUUACUGAUCUCCCUUAUCCACAUGGAAUUUUCUGAUUAUCCCAUAGCAGUGUCAACUGUCUUAAAGUCUAAAAUUUUAAAAAUAUUUUGAUUUCUAUUGUUAAUGAUUUUAAGCUGA
Zingiber officinale is the source of this 731-nucleotide long non-coding RNA. RefSeq lists it as uncharacterized. The transcript has 3 exons. Lineage: Eukaryota; Viridiplantae; Streptophyta; Magnoliopsida; Zingiberales; Zingiberaceae. The record is from RefSeq and is a predicted model, not a curated record.